CUUAAUCUCUUCAUCUGUCAGUUGGCAAGAAUGAUAAGUGUACCUACUUUGUAAGGUCAUGGAGAGUAUUAAAGGAGUUAAUGUUUGAAAAAUGCUUGGAACACCUAACACAUCACAACCACUGUAUCUGUGUGUUAUAAAUAAAAUUUAAAAAUCUUCUGACACUGUUCAUAAGCUCCAGAGGGUGAGACUAGUGCCUGGAUGUAUGUAGAAAGCACUCUGUGACAUACAAUGAAUAAAAGAAUGAACAACACUGUUGAAUGCUUUACCACUGUCACAUACAUCAUCCUACAGGCAUUCCCAAGCAGAAUCACACCCAACAAUACCUGUUCUGUCCCACAGCAUCUUCUUUGAUUCCAUCCAGGAAUCACUGGGGUUUCUUGGACCCUGGUAACUGUACCCACUAAAGGUCCUCUUCUCUCUGUCAUAAACCCUGGUCCUUGUCAUAAUUGCUGCAGCUCCCAGGGUCUGCACUCAGAUCCUUUUCUUCACAUGAGGGAGAAGUGUCAUCCCCAGAUCUGGGCAUCCACAAAGCAUGAGCUUUGUGGAAAUGUUUCCCUGGCCUGGGGCACAUAGAAGAAUGCAGUGACAGGGCGGGAUUUGUGUAAAUCCUCCAGUCCAUUUACAGACAGCAUGUUCUCCAUUUACCACGGAAUCCAGGAAGGAUCUGAAUAGAAGAGAAAUUAAGCUGAGGAGACACGAUCUGACUUCACUUCUGAUUUUGAGGAACAGUGACACUUUCUUGCUGACCAGGAGACCGGAGAUCAGGCAUGUGAUGAGCACCAGGAGUCCCACAAAGCAGGUGAGGAUUUUGCCCCAGGAGGGGAGGUCUGGGGAGACAAGUGCUAGGUUGAGCCACCUCUGGUUACUCCCCUAGGCUCCUACUGUGCCGUCACUGUGCUCCACAGUUCUUGACACUGGGUUCACCAGCUUUCAUCAUCAUCCAAGACCCUGGGUGCAUGGUUCUCUUUGAUGAGGCACAGCAUCAAGAUAUUCCUUCCCUCCCACCCUGGGCUGGGGCUUCCUUGAGGCUUCCCAGAACUCUCUGUCAAGGAAUCAUUUCUGUGAGGAGAGUACCCUGGAAGUCAAUGAAAUCGAGAAUACAUGUGUGUUUUACAUUUUUAAAUAAAAAUUUUCAAACACACAGAAAAGCAGGACAAUAUCAGAAACAUCCAUCACCUAGAUUUAACAAC
RNAcentral lists this long non-coding RNA (1193 nucleotides) under Equus asinus (donkey). RNAcentral describes it as "lncRNA (ENSEASG00005026916.1)". Lineage: Eukaryota; Metazoa; Chordata; Mammalia; Perissodactyla; Equidae. The record is from RNAcentral.